AAGAACUCUUGUCUGUCUUCGCUGAACUACUGGCGGACGGGUGACUCAUGUCUGGCCUGCUGGCUGAUGGAGGGGGAUUACUACUGGAAACGGCAGCUACUACCGCAUAACGUCUGAAGACCGACGUUGGGGACCUUCGGGCCUCUGUGCCAUCUGCAUGUGCCCAGAUGGGAUUAGCUAGCAAGUGGGGUAACGGCUCACCUACGCGACGAUCCCUACCUGGUCUGACAGGAUGACCGAUCACACUGGAUCUGACACACAGUCCAGACUCAUACCUAAGGCAGCAGUGAGGAAUAUUGCUCCAUGGGCGCACGCCUGACGCACCCAUGCCGCGCGCAUGAAUAAAGACUGCUGGCUGAUCAGUACUUUCUGCGGUGAGAAAAGAACUAAAGUGAAUACCUUUGCUCAUUGACGUGACCCGCUCAUAAAGCACCGGCUAACUCCGUGACAUCAGCCGCGGCACUACAGAACGUGCGAGCCUUACUCUGAAUUACUGGACGGAGAGCGCACGCAGGCGGUUUGUUAAGUCAGAUGUGAAAUCCCCGGGCUCGACCUGGCAACUGCAUCUGAUACUGGCUGGCUUGAGUCUCGGAGAGAGGGGUAAAAGUCCAUGUGUGAGC
RNAcentral lists this ribosomal RNA (620 nucleotides) under bacterium. RNAcentral describes it as "bacterial SSU rRNA". It matches the Rfam family "Bacterial small subunit ribosomal RNA", at positions 65 to 680 of the family's 1533-position model. The record is from RNAcentral.